AUUACCAGGUUAUACUGGCAUCAACUAGGGAGUGAGACCCUAUGUUGAAAAAGUGAGACUAUUGAACUGUGUACCUAUGCUAAAAUGAAUCAACAAGGACUUUUUUUAUUUAUUUUUUUUGAGAAAAUCAAUUUCAAUUUUUUUUUUUUGAGAAAAUCAUUCUUUUAAACAAAUUGCCCCAACGCUUUUUUUUUUCAAAGGCAUGAACAAAUGACUUCUUUUUCUUUUUUAAUUUCCUAGGAAAAAAUUCAUCAGACUAAGAUUUUGAUCCUAGAAGAAAGUUCAUCAAACUAGGUCUUUUUUCUUCUUCUUUUUUUGUAUCUUAAGAGAAAGAUUCAUCAGACUAAGAUUUCUAUCCUAGGAGAAAGUUCAUCACACUAUGGCUUCUAUCUUAGAAGAAAAAUUUAUCAGACUAAGAUUUUUAUCCUAGGAGAAAGUUCAUCAGACUGAGUCUCUUCUCUUCUUCUUCUUUUGUAUCUUAAGAGAAAGAUUCAUCAGACUAAGAUUUCUAUCCUAGGAGAAAGAUUCAUCAGACUAGGUUUUCUGUCUUAGGAGAAAGGUUUAUCAGACUAAGAUUUUGAUCCUAAGAGAAAGUUCAUCAGACUAGGUCCCUCUUCUUUUUUUGUUAUCUUAGGAGAAAGAUUCAUCAGACUAAGAUUUAUGUCUUAGGUGAAAGAUUCAUCAGACUAAGAUUUUGAUCCUAGGAGAAAGUUUAUCAGACUAGGUAUUUUUGUUAUCUUAGGAGAAAGAUUUAUCAGACUAAGAUGUUUAUCCUAGGAGAAAGAUUCAUCAGACUAGGUUUCGAUCCUAGGAGAAAGAUCAUCAGACUAGGUCUUCUAUCUUAGGAGAAAGAUUCAUCAGACUAAGAUUUUGAUCCUAGGAGAAAGUUCAUCAGACUAAGUCUCUUUUCCUCUCUUUUCUUUUGGUAUCUUAGGAGAAAGAUUCAUCAGACUAAGAUUUCAAUCCUAUGAGAAAGUUCAUCAGACUAGGUCUUCUAUCUUAGGAGAAAAAUUCAUCAGACUAAGAUGUUUAUCCUAGGAGAAAGAUUCAUCAGACUAGGUUUCGAUCCUAGGAGAAAAUUCAUCAGACUAGGUUUUCUAUCUUAGGAGAAAGAUUCAUCAGACUAAAAUUUUUAUUGGGAGAAAAUCCAUCAAACUAGGACUUUUAUCCUAGGAGGAAAAAUGUGAAAAGCAAUGGCAAAAUUUUAUGCAUAUGCAGACAAAUAAAGACAAAGAUUUUGAGAAACUUUCCUUUGACAGCUCUUCUCUUCUUUUAUUUUUCUUCUCUUUUUUUGUUUUUUUGUUUUUUAUUUUUUUUUAACCACUUUCCUUGCACUUCUUUGUUCCUGUUCAAACAAAGAAAAUUCUGUCAGUUUUAAAAGUGGUGGUCGGUUUGUGGCCUUGAGUCUUGAGCAGCUUGGCUUUUGCUCGAUCAGGUUGAGUCGGUCUCAAGAGACUUUUGUUCUGCACCAACUCUAAUUGUUUCACACCCAGUACCAUUUGUAUUUGCAGCUCAAACAGCCUUAUCCCAACUAGAGAUCUUUGCUUAGGUGACCUUUUCUGAUAACUUGAAUGACUUCCUACUUUGAGCAAUUUGUUUGUCAUAUAUAAUCACAAGUAUCUUUGUUUGUGCCAAGUAGGCUGACAAGAGUCUUUUGGGGAAGCCUUUGCAUGAAUCCUCAAGGCAUGUUGACAGUAACAACUGAGUGUGCUGGCCACAUUUACUUUGUGCAACUAAAAAGCUGGUAGCAGAUUUUGAAAUCUUUUCUUGCUUGUUUUGAGAAGGACUGACUCAGAGUGAAGGACAUGAUGAUGCAAAGAAACAAGUAUUAACAAGAAACACCCCUGUCGGGAGGGACAAAAGGAAGAGGCUUUUUUUUUCUGUUUUUUGUUUCCUUUUUUUUCUUUUUCUUUUUUAAAUAACUAGCCUUAAUGAUCAUGACAUGCAUUUUGGACUUAAUGGCCUGAUCUAUCAAACUGGCUGAAUCUUCCAUUUAGCAUUCUUAUGACUUUGAAGUCAGGCUUGUGCAAAUCUGUGCAUCAGCUUCACGACUCACUUUCGACUAGUGGUGCCCCCGGGGGAUUUUCACCAACAAGUCUCUCUCAUUUGUUUAUCUCUACUUACCGUCGUUUUACAGUGCCCGUGAGGGUUUUCACUAAUAAGACUCUCUCAUUUUUUCUUAUUUAUUUUUCUUUUUCUUUUGCUUUCUUGUGCGAGCAGCUUGACAGUGUUCUAUGUCGCGUGACAACCGUUUCUCAUUGGAUGUUUCUCUUGUCAUUCUUGAAAGCUUAUCAAGAGGUCUUUAUUUUGAAGGUUUUGUGAUAGGGUUGGAAAGAAGGGUUGGCAUGAAAGCUCAAAUAGACUCAAACUGAGGGGUUGUAGAUUUACAACUCUUGGAAUCGACUCUUUCAAAAGUGAAAUAAAAUCUUUGCCCCAAUUUCAGAUAUUGGGGAUUUUUUUGGGAUUUUUUUUUCUUUUUUUCUUUUUUUGAAUUCUUAUUUGGUUGGACCAAACCGUGAGGCUGCCUACGUAUUGUUUUUUAAGGAAUCAGGUCGAACGUAGUUCAAACAUCUGACCUAACUAUAAUUCAUCUUUCUUUCUGUUUCUUUUUUUUUAUUUUCUUUCUUUGGUUUUUCAAAACAAGUUGCCCCAGCUUCUAUUUUUUGAGGGCAGACAAUUCUUUUCUUUUUCUUUUUUUUUCUCACUUGAACUUUCUAGGAAUUUCCCAGUUUGUACUCUUGGAACAUGGACUCUUUUCUUUUCUUUUUUUUCAUUUUUCAUUUUUUUUUAAUCUUGACUCUAAACUUGAUUCCAAAAGAGGGUGGUCAAAGAAAAUAACACAGGCUCAAAAGGGGUAACGAAGGAUAUAAAGUGUUUGGAUAGUAGUAAAAAGGCCUCCUAGCCUCGAGAACGCCAAACAUAGUAUAUUUUCGCAGUCACAGCAUUGACGAACAUGUCUGUAUUCUUGGUGUGUCGUGGUCACAAGACACUUUCCAUCCGUUAGUGUCAAACUUUCCAACAAACUUCAAUUGAUUAAACAUCUUCAAGCCUUAUCUUCACAAUGAUUUGAAGGUGAAUUUUACUUCGACCUUAAUUCCAAAGUACUUCAACUCUUUACUCAUCCUCAAAAGUAUUUUUU
This 3139-nucleotide long non-coding RNA is filed under the name Nicotiana tabacum (common tobacco). Its description in RNAcentral is "long non-coding RNA (NTAB_LNC018767)". The record is from RNAcentral. Lineage: Eukaryota; Viridiplantae; Streptophyta; Magnoliopsida; Solanales; Solanaceae.